Molecule: long non-coding RNA, 537 nt
Organism: Mus musculus (house mouse)
Lineage: Eukaryota; Metazoa; Chordata; Mammalia; Rodentia; Muridae
Product: predicted gene, 33144
Exons: 3
Source: RefSeq, a predicted model, not a curated record
UUAGGAAUCACCGCCCUGUCGGAGAUGUGGCUGCCUAACAUAUCUCUCCUUGGAUCUGCUUGCUGUGCUGAGAGUUUCCUUUGGGGUGCAGAGGACUUGAAUUUCUUGUAGUCUUGUUGGUUGAUUCUUGGGAUAUUUUCCUGUGUUGUUAAGAGUCCUGUUGGAGAUGUGGGUCACCGGCAGCGGUGGCUGCUGAGCACGUCUGCUGCUGUCCUUGGGUUUUCCAGUUGGUUAGUAAAAGGUGGUCGGGGACUAGAGCAACAAGAGCAUUGUUUGCCUGUUUACUAGCGGGUAGCUUGGAACCAGGGCUAUGUCAAUUGCGGUUUCCUCUGGAUCUGUUAGCUUGGUGGACCCUGGAGUUCAAGUUAGUACUGAACUGAGCAGCCUCUCUGCUGACCCACACGGAGGACAACAAACAGGAUCCACGUGGAAGCCCACACCUCCUACCACUCAUGGGCAGACUUCUUGUCUGCAACUUCUCAACUGCAGUGACGGGUUCUCUCUACUGGAGCAUACAAAGGAUCUCACUAUAUAGCA